Molecule: ribosomal RNA, 253 nt
Filed under: uncultured bacterium
Lineage: Bacteria
Description: partial 16S ribosomal RNA
Rfam family: Bacterial small subunit ribosomal RNA
Source: RNAcentral
UACGUAGGGGGCUAGCGUUGUCCGGAAUCAUUGGGCGUAAAGAGCGUGUAGGCGGCUCGGUAAGUCCGCUGUAAAAGUCAAAGGCUCAACCUUUGAAUGUCAGUGGAUACUGCCGGGCUAGAGUCCGGAAGAGGCGAGUGGAACUCCUGGUGUAGCGGUGAAAUGCGCAGAUAUCAGGAAGAACACCCGUGGCGAAGGCGGCUCUCUGGUACGUGACUGACGCUGAGACGCGAAAGCGUGGGGAGCGAACAGG